CACCACCACCGACCUCGAAGUACUUUGCAGCCGUUCUUUUAACAAAGUAGAGAAGACCGAUUGAGACAAAGAAGAGCGUUAAGAUAAGCUGCGUGUAGAAUUUCAGAUCCACAGGUAAUACAACUUCAUGCAUCUAAUUCACAAUCGUAGCUCCUUCUCUCAAACAUCGAUCUUCUUCUUCUUCGUUUCUCAGAUUGGAUUCGGAGAUGCCAAGAGAAUCUCCUCUGUUUUUUUGGUUUUUGCUCUGUGUUUAGUUUAGGUCCUUAAAGAAUUGGGAAUGGGCUUAUAAUAAACAACACAUGAGAAAGAGAGAGCCUUUAGCUUAACUAAUUAAUUAGCUUUGGACACUUUUAUUUAGUUAUUUCCUUUUUUUUUUUUUUUUUUUUUUCUCUUUGUCAAUUUAUAGUUAUUACAAGCCAACUACUAUUUUUCUGGAUCUAUUUACAUUAUAAGAAAUUUAAUAUUAAUGAUAAUUAAUUACACAUAUCAUGCCUCUUUCUAAAUAAAUGUAAGAUAUGAAACAUAUUAUGAAUGAUAAAUAAUAAUAAAGAACCAGAAUAAAUAUUUUUUAUAUAUAACCAAUUUCUUUUUUGAUAAAGUAUAAGAAAAAAAUUCAAGAAACAUUAGUAAAAAAAAAAUGGUAAUCCAGACGAUUUGUCUUUUUUUUUUUCUUUUUCUGUGUGUAUGUACACCUAAUGUAAUAACUCGGGAUCUCUAUUGUGGAUAUUAUACCUCUUUUACAAAUUAAUAAAGAAUUUAAGGUUUUUUAAAAAAUUGGAAGCAAUAAGUUUAUAUAUGAAGAUUAAUGGUUGAGUUUGUUGAAACAAAAAAAAAGGAUUAAUGGCAAAUAUAUAAAGAAAAAAAAAGGAGAGGAAAGGACUUAGUCAUGUAGCGUUGAAAUACAAUUAUAGUUCACUCAACCUUUGUCAAAUUAAACAAUUUAUAUGUGCCGCUUUUUUCAAAUUAGUGCUGAGUAGCUUUCGACUAAUCUUUUUUUGGCAAAAAAAAACUCAUUUAUCUCUAUUUAUGUGUUUGCAUUGCACAUUUUUUUUUUAUUUUUUUUGGAAUAGUAAAUAUCCCUUCUUAUGAUUAUUUGCUUUCGUAAUCUCUAAUCAUAUCUACAAUUUCCUUAUCUCAACACUCUCACAUCUGAUUAAUCAAGUGAGCUGCAUAUUUUUUUUUAUAAUCACCACUCAUGUUUAGAGUGUCACGACUUGCAAGUUCUUUUUAUUUACUGUUUAUGUGUUGUGAUAAGUAUAUUUUAACGUCGAUGUUUAGUUUAUACUGUUUUUAAUUUUGUUUGUUUUAUUUGAAUAGUUUUAUAAAUAAUUUUAAGUCAAUAUUGAAAAUAAAAAAUAUAUAUCGGUCAACUUAUGUUCACAAAUUUUUUAGAUAUUGUAGCUUUUAAAUCUCUAAUUCCUAUUCAUAAAGUCAUAAGUUUUGUAAAUAUAAUAAAGUUAAUUAUAGUAAAUUAUUAACUUUAUAUUAUAUAGUUUGUCUUAACCAAAAAUAAUUGAGCUAAAAUAGAUAAAAGCUAGGUAUACAUGAGUGUCAUAAUUGGUUUUAUAGUAAUUGUAUGUGAUCACUGGAAUAAAAAAAAAUAUAAGUAUCAAAUAAAAUUAAAAAUUAACAAAAAAACCUAUAUUGUAAACAAUAUUUGAUGUUCAUAAUAUCUUGUCUCAAGUAUCAAAUAGUAAAUUUUCUCUAUAUAUUUGUUUACAUAUAUUAAUGUCAGAAAAUUUGAUUUAUAAUAAAAUACAAUAUGUUGAAUUGAUUCAGAAAUUCACCAAAUUUCUUUCUCGAGUUCAAUUUUUAUACCAUUAAAAGUUUAAAUCUAUACUAAUUGCUUCAAAAACCUUGUGAAGUUACAAAUAGGAUCGAUAAGUGACACCUUCGUUGGUGUUUCUUUAAAUCACAAGGUGCAGAUUCUGCUCCUAACUAAACACCACCAAAACAAAGAUAUACCAAAAAACAAUAUUUUAAGAGUUAAGUUUGAUCAUACAACAGAGUGAACAUACUUACUAAAACACACUACAAUAGUACAGUUUUAGACCUUAAGAGUUAAGUUUGAUCAUACAACAGUAGUGAACAUACAUACAAAAACACACUACAAUAGUACUGUUUUAGACCUUAAGAGUUAAGCCGACCAUUGUUAAAUCUUACCUAAGAAAAGAGAGUCAAACAUUGAUUCAUGUCAACAUUAUACUCAUAUACAGUUUCAUUUUGGUUUAUAGGUUCACCUUGGAGCGAAACUUAAGGACACAGGUGGUCUCUUCUUCCCAAAUCAGCUCCAACUUGAUUGAUUCAUUUGCCUUCACACCGUUAGCUUCGAGGAAUCCUUUCCAGCCUCCUACCAGUCUUAGUCUUUCACU
RNAcentral lists this long non-coding RNA (2372 nucleotides) under Capsella rubella. RNAcentral's name for it is "long non-coding RNA (CRUB_LNC002974)". Lineage: Eukaryota; Viridiplantae; Streptophyta; Magnoliopsida; Brassicales; Brassicaceae. The record is from RNAcentral.